UGCAGUCGAGCGGAUGAGAGGAGCUUGCUCCUUGAUUUAGCGGCGGACGGGUGAGUAAUGCCUAGGAAUCUGCCUGGUAGUGGGGGAUAACGUCCGGAAACGGGCGCUAAUACCGCAUACGUCCUACGGGAGAAAGCAGGGGACCUUCGGGCCUUGCGCUAUCAGAUGAGCCUAGGGUCGGAUUAGCUAGUUGGUGAGGUAAUGGCUCACCAAGGCGACGAUCCGUAACUGGUCUGAGAGGAUGAUCAGUCACACUGGAACUGAGACACGGUCCAGACUCCUACGGGAGGCAGCAGUGGGGAAUAUUGGACAAUGGGCGAAAGCCUGAUCCAGCCAUGCCGCGUGUGUGAAGAAGGUCUUCGGAUUGUAAAGCACUUUAAGUUGGGAGGAAGGGCAGUAAGCUAAUACCUUGCUGUUUUGACGUUACCGACAGAAUAAGCACCGGCUAACUUCGUGCCAGCAGCCGCGGUAAUACGAAGGGUGCAAGCGUUAAUCGGAAUUACUGGGCGUAAAGCGCGCGUAGGUGGUUCGUUAAGUUGGAUGUGAAAGCCCCGGGCUCAACCUGGGAACUGCAUCCAAAACUGGCGAGCUAGAGUACGGUAGAGGGUGGUGGAAUUUCCUGUGUAGCGGUGAAAUGCGUAGAUAUAGGAAGGAACAUCCAGUGGCGAAGGCGACCCACCUGGA
This 684-nucleotide ribosomal RNA is filed under the name uncultured bacterium. RNAcentral describes it as "bacterial SSU rRNA". It matches the Rfam family "Bacterial small subunit ribosomal RNA", at positions 56 to 733 of the family's 1533-position model. The record is from RNAcentral.